GCUAUGUGCGGAAGGGAUAAGUGCUGAAAGCAUCUAAGCAUGAAGCCCCCCUCAAGAUGAGAUUUCCCAUAGCGUAAGCUAGUAAGAUCCCUGAAAGAUGAUCAGGUUGAUAGGUUCGAGGUGGAAGCAUGGUGACAUGUGGAGCUGACGAAUACUAAUAGAUCGAGGACUUAACCAUAUAA
This 182-nucleotide ribosomal RNA is filed under the name Bacillus thuringiensis. RNAcentral's name for it is "partial 23S ribosomal RNA". It matches the Rfam family "Bacterial large subunit ribosomal RNA", at positions 2748 to 2925 of the family's 2925-position model. The record is from RNAcentral. Lineage: Bacteria; Bacillati; Bacillota; Bacilli; Caryophanales; Bacillaceae.